Molecule: long non-coding RNA, 2006 nt
Filed under: Helianthus annuus (common sunflower)
Lineage: Eukaryota; Viridiplantae; Streptophyta; Magnoliopsida; Asterales; Asteraceae
Description: hypothetical non coding rna
Source: RNAcentral
GACUAGUAAUCUGAGUUUAUGCGCAUGUUCCGUUAUUAUGUCGUACUUUAACUGUUAUGCCCUUUUUACCAAAAAUAAGGUUUAGAGACCAAUAAGCUUGCAAAUAAUUCAGAUACUAAUAUGUUAACAUGUUUAACAUAUUUUGAUGUUACGAAUCUGAUUAUAAACUGACUUUGCGUAUAAUUUCGUAAAUUAUGCUUUAAAGUGACCAAAAUGCCCUUCAGGCGCGUAGAUCGGUUUUAAGCAUAAUUUCUCAUACCAAACUCAUUGCCUACUGAUAUAAUAUAAUAAUUAGAAUAUUUUGGGAUAUCUAUUCAAUUUACAAACUGAGUUUAUGCACAAGUUCUUGAAUUAUGUUCGUAAAUGACAAUAAUGCCCUUUUGGCAUCUAAAAUGGUUUUAAAGCAUAAUUUUCAUACAAAACCUUUUGACUACUGAUAUGUUAUAUUAAUUAACAUAUUUCGGUCAUAUAAACCUGAUCAUAACAUCAGUUUUCCUAAAAGAUAGCAAAUAUCGCCAUUUAACGACUUUAACGCCAUGUCGGCGCGUAGUGUGGUUUUUAAACCAUAAAUACCUACCAAGACUUGUUACCUACUGAUUUUAUAAAUCGUUUUAAAUAUUUUUACAGUAGGUACAUGAUAUAAACUCAGAUUACCAAAUUAGCUUUCAAAACUAUGUGUGAAAUUACCAAAAUGCCCCUACGGAGCAUAGUUUGGUCUUAAACUAUAAAACACACAUAUGUUUGAUAUCCUACUGAUAUUAUAUCAUAAGAAAAGUGUUUUCACAGAAUGUUUAUGGUCGUAACAUCAGAUUAUACGCAAGUUCCUUUUAUAUGUUGUAAAAUGACCAAAACGCCCUUAUCAGGCAUAGUUUGAUUUUAAAAACUUAACGGGCAUACAAGUUGAUAUCCUACUGGUAUUAUAACUUUUUAAAGUAUAUUGGCAUAUGGAACUUGUUCAUGACUCAUCCGGUUACUCGUUAUCGCUUAUACGCAUACGGUUAGACUUGCGUAACUAGUUUACGUAAGUUUGCCGAAACAGGUUUAACCUUAUCAUUUUUACUUCAAAAUACAGAAUGUAAAUAGUUUACCCAUAUUGUACAAGUCUUUAUACUUGUUGGGUCUAAAUUACAUUCUAUUCUGGUCAUCGCUUAAUCUAGCGUAUCGUACCGUUUCUAAUACUUUAAGCUAGCAGGUCUAGGUCUAUGACUUCAAUAAGACCCGUUAGCAUUCUAAAUUGGUUAUAUAUUACCAUCAUUCCACUAGAGCCUCCCGGUAAAAGCUAUCUACACUUAUCUAGUGUAUUAUACGACUGGGUUAUUUAAACCUUGCUGUGAAUCGAGUAUUAGCUCAGGUAAAUACUUUUAACUUAUUUUCCCUUAUACGGGCUUGGGAUACGGUAAAUUAUUACCGCUUGGUCGAGAAUGGGAUCACUUGGUCGGAUUGUGACUAACAAAUCCGCAUAACCCGAAACAUUGGGGGUUAAUGCAACCGUGUCCUGGAUAUCCUCGUCUCAUUUAAUUGCAAAUGGCCACGACCUAUGCACGGGGUGUAGGUAUACACCUGACAGUUGCAAAAUGCUAAAUUAUACCCACAAGGUUGGGGAUAACUCCUUUGUGGGUUUAUAAAAGUGGCGUGUCGGUUAAUCAUGUCUCGGUUUCUAUACUGGGCCCCAUAUGUAUGAAAAAAAUGUAAAUCUGUAUACAAGAUUAUAAAUGUAAUUGUCCCAAGUUAUAAAAGAAUUUUUCGUGCCUUGUGCACCUAGAUCAAUUUUUUGAAAAUGUUUUCAAAUGUGUACUAUACGCAAAUAGGCUGGUAGCUGCUCGGUGUCAAUAAAGGAUCUUGCAAAUCCUUAGGAUGCCCUAAAGUAUGUUAAACAUCAUUUUGUACAUUUAUUAGAUCCGCCUGUGGAUUUGAUAUUACAAGCUCGUCUGUAAUUAUUACUUCAGUAUUUUUUUCAAACAAUUGAGUUUGUAAUAAUAUUUUAUAUUCCAAGACUUCCGUUGUGG